CGCGUGAAGGAUGAAGGCCUCUGGGUCGUAAACUUCUUUUAUUAGGGAAGAAACCUCAAGAUGCGUCUUGAGCUGACGGUACUUAAUGAAUAAGGAUCGGCUAACUUCGUGCCAGCAGCCGCGGUAAGACGAAGGAUCCAAGCGUUGUCCGGAUUUACUGGGUUUAAAGGGUGCGUAGGCGGAAAAUUAAGUCAGUGGUGAAAGCCCGCAGCUCAACUGUGGAACUGCCAUUGAAACUGGUUUUCUUGAAUAUAGCUGAGGCAGAUGGAAUAUAACAUGUAGCGGUGAAAUGCUUAGAUAUGUUAUAGAACACCGAUUGCGAAGGCAGUCUGCUAAACUAUUAUUGACGCUGAGGCACGAAAGCGUGGGGAGCGAACAGGAUUAGAUACCCUGGUAGUCCACGCCCUAAACGUUGAUUACUCGCUGUUGGCGAUAUACUGUCAGUGGCUAAGCGAAAGCAUUAAGUAAUCCACCUGGGAAGUACGACCGCAAGGUUUGAAACUCAAAGGAAUUGACGGGGGCCCGCAACA
RNAcentral lists this ribosomal RNA (530 nucleotides) under uncultured bacterium. Its description in RNAcentral is "bacterial SSU rRNA". It matches the Rfam family "Bacterial small subunit ribosomal RNA", at positions 398 to 928 of the family's 1533-position model. The record is from RNAcentral.